Molecule: ribosomal RNA, 253 nt
Filed under: uncultured bacterium
Lineage: Bacteria
Description: partial 16S ribosomal RNA
Rfam family: Bacterial small subunit ribosomal RNA
Source: RNAcentral
UACGGGGGGUGCAAGCGUUAUUCGGAAUCAUUGGGCGUAAAGAGCGCGUAGGCGGCCCUAUAAGUCAGAUGUGAAAGCCCGGGGCUUAACCCCGGAAGUGCAUUUGAAACUAUUGGGCUUGAGUAUGGGAGAGGGAAGUGGAAUUCCUGGUGUAGAGGUGAAAUUCGUAGAUAUCAGGAGGAACACCGGUGGCGAAGGCGACUUCCUGGACCAAUACUGACGCUGAGGCGCGAAGGCGUGGGGAGCAAACAGG